GCCAAUCCAGUCUCAAGGAACGCAUUUCCCUCCUCACCUUUGCUUCGGCGUUCGGUCUCCAACCUGGCUCUACGUCCGACAGAGACACUUCCUUGCUCGAAUAAAGAUUCAAUUCAGGAUGUAAUGCCUGUGGUGUUUUGAGUGACUAGCCUAGUGGAUCCUGUCUGAGCAGCUAUCCAAGAAAGCAAGCAACAAAGAUGUCCAGUCUGCCCUGCAAGGAGAGGGAGUUGAUGUAGCCUCCACUGUGCCACUUCUCUUGGCCCACUUCAAGGAGGACAAGGAAGGACUUCUCCUUCAAGCUGAUGCAGGUGCAUCAGCUGCUGAUGUCGAAGAGGCACUUACCCUGCCUGCCAGUCCUCGGUUGAUACUGGUUGGUGAUACUCCACAUUGGAUGCUGAGCAUUGAGGGCCAGGUGGUGUGUGAGGGGACCACCUUUGUGUCUGGCCUUGCAGUACUUUUUGCGUCAUAUUACAACUUUAACCUGCAGUACCAGGAUGAGGCGGCUUGUACGCUGGAGUUCAUUCAAAGACGGUUCAUCGAUAUAAAUCCUGAGAAGGGAACAAGAGCCCAACAAGGAAAAGUGGUGUCAAAGAAGACUGGAAGAGAAGUGCAAAAGAAGCCACACAAUGUCAAUCCACACGUUGCCACACUUCUGCGCAAGCUUAUGGAUUACAAGUGGGACUUUGGAAAUUAGUCAACACGUACCCCCUCUCUCACACUGUGACACACACACACACACACAUACACACAGGGAAGGAGGUGAGAGGGACAGAGGAGCAGGAAAGGGGAGAGAAUGAAGAAAGGGAUCGUGGUGUGAGGAAUGUUUAGUUCGUCCAAAAAUGUUCUAAUAGAAUGUUUUAUAGUAAAAGGGACAGAGCAGCAGGAAAAGGUAGAGUGGGAAGAGAGGGACGGCAGUGUGAGGAAUGUUUUGUUGGUCUAAAUAUGUCCCAGCUGAAAUCCCUUUUUGCAUUUGUUCUAAAAUGACAUAACAUUGUCUGUUUAAAAAAUGUUUGGUCAGUCAAAUAAAAUGUUUUACACUAAAUUGC
Chelmon rostratus (copperband butterflyfish) is the source of this 1046-nucleotide long non-coding RNA. RefSeq lists it as uncharacterized. Lineage: Eukaryota; Metazoa; Chordata; Actinopteri; Chaetodontiformes; Chaetodontidae. The record is from RefSeq and is a predicted model, not a curated record. The transcript is spliced from 6 exons.